This 531-nucleotide long non-coding RNA is filed under the name Arachis ipaensis. RNAcentral's name for it is "long non-coding RNA (AIPA_LNC001452)". Lineage: Eukaryota; Viridiplantae; Streptophyta; Magnoliopsida; Fabales; Fabaceae. The record is from RNAcentral.
AGAAAUCAUAAUCAGAAAAUUCAGAACUCUAAACCUAAUUACCCUAAAUCAGAAAUCCAGUAGGCGGAGAGGAGAGGAGAGGAGACGCGGCAGUCAGCGAUCGGCGGUCGGCGAUGUUCGAGGAGAGGAGAUGAGACGAGACUGAUGGUUUCACCGUGAGAAGUGAAGAGGAGAAGCAGCAGUAAAGCAUGUGUGAGCAGUGUUCUAUACCUUACCCAGUUACCCGACGGCAAAGAGGUGACGACAAGCAAAGGCGCGACGACUAGAGAAGAGGUGACGACCGGCGAAGACGCAAAGACGGUGAAGAUGACGGUGACGGUGACGGACUGAGGGGUGGGAGGUAGCGCCGUAGCGGUGAAGGACUGAGAGGGCGAGAGGUGGCAGUUGGUGGCGGUCGGUGGUGGUGAUGGUGCGACUGUGCGUGGUUCAGAGAGGACGAGAGACUGAGGUUUGAGGGUGGUGAUUGGUGAAGAGUUCGGAGAGACAGAGACUAGGUUGAAGAUUGUGAAUUGCAACUUUGCAAGUGUGACG